GGCCAUGUCGCCAAGUAGUAAGGCACGGGACUGCAAAUCCUGAAUACGCGGGUGCGAUUCCCGCCAUGGCCU
RNAcentral lists this transfer RNA (72 nucleotides) under Minisyncoccota bacterium. RNAcentral's name for it is "tRNA-Cys". It matches the Rfam family "tRNA". From Rfam's summary of the family: Transfer RNA (tRNA) molecules are approximately 80 nucleotides in length. The record is from RNAcentral. Lineage: Bacteria; Bacillati; Minisyncoccota.